ACCCAAUUAGUCUAAUGGAUAAAACAGAUGGCUACGAACCAUCAAUUAUAGGUUCGAUUCCUAUAUUGGGUA
This is a transfer RNA of 72 nucleotides. It matches the Rfam family "tRNA". From Rfam's summary of the family: Transfer RNA (tRNA) molecules are approximately 80 nucleotides in length. Their secondary structure includes four short double-helical elements and three loops (D, anti-codon, and T loops). Further hydrogen bonds mediate the characteristic L-shaped molecular structure. tRNAs have two regions of fundamental functional importance: the anti-codon, which is responsible for specific mRNA codon recognition, and the 3' end, to which the tRNAs corresponding amino acid is attached (by aminoacyl-tRNA synthetases). tRNAs cope with the degeneracy of the genetic code in two manners: having more than one tRNA (with a specific anti-codon) for a particular amino acid; and 'wobble' base-pairing, i.e. permitting non-standard base-pairing at the 3rd anti-codon position.